UACGAAGGGUGCAAACGUUGCUCGGAAUCAUUGGGCGUAAAGCGCACGUAGGCGGCCCUGCAAGUCGGAUGUGAAAUCCCACGGCUCAACCGUGGACGUGCAUUCGAAACUGCUUGGCUCGAGUAUGGAAGAGGGUCGCGGAAUUCCCGGUGUAGAGGUGAAAUUCGUAGAUAUCGGGAGGAACACCAGUGGCGAAGGCGGCGACCUGGGCCAAUACUGACGCUGAGGUGCGAAAGCGUGGGGAGCAAACAGG
RNAcentral lists this ribosomal RNA (253 nucleotides) under uncultured bacterium. Its description in RNAcentral is "partial 16S ribosomal RNA". It matches the Rfam family "Bacterial small subunit ribosomal RNA", at positions 524 to 776 of the family's 1533-position model. The record is from RNAcentral.